This is a long non-coding RNA of Acyrthosiphon pisum (pea aphid), 352 nucleotides long. RefSeq lists it as uncharacterized. The transcript is spliced from 2 exons. The record is from RefSeq and is a predicted model, not a curated record. Lineage: Eukaryota; Metazoa; Arthropoda; Insecta; Hemiptera; Aphididae.
AACAAAGCUGAUUCGGAAAACCAAUUAACUCAGACAAAUUAAAUAAAGCCAUUGAUGUGAUAAAUAAUGAUAACAUUUUAAAAUAGAGAAAAUGAGGAUAAAACAACUGGUGAAACCCAAGCUGUUUGGUACCAAUCAGUAUUUUGGGAACUACCGCAACAAUAAUAGUGUUGUUGAAAUUGAUUCCAAAAUAAUCGCCAGUUUCUAUUUGUGGCAUAUUUGCAGAGACUUGCGGUCAAGAUGUUUUCUACUUCUCCAGAAAUUGUUUGUAAAGUAUAUUGUAAAUUGGCACAAUAACAAAUAAGUACCACAGCUUCGACUGCAGUUACCAUAAUAUAAGAUUUCAGUUUUA